This 489-nucleotide ribosomal RNA is filed under the name uncultured bacterium. RNAcentral describes it as "partial 16S ribosomal RNA". It matches the Rfam family "Bacterial small subunit ribosomal RNA", at positions 28 to 507 of the family's 1533-position model. The record is from RNAcentral.
GACGAACGCUGGCGGCGUGCUUAACACAUGCAAGUCGAACGGUGAAGGGAUCAGCUUGCUGGUUCUGGAUGAGUGGCGAACGGGUGAGUAACACGUGAGUAACCUGCCCCCUUCUUCUGGAUAACCGCAUGAAAGUGUGGCUAAUACGGGAUAUUCUGGGUCUGUCGCAUGAUGGGUCUGGGAAAGAUAUUGUUUCGGUGGGGGAUGGGCUCGCGGCCUAUCAGCUUGUUGGUGGGGUGAUGGCCUACCAAGGCGGUGACGGGUAGCCGGCCUGAGAGGGUGGACGGUCACACUGGGACUGAGACACGGCCCAGACUGCUACGGGAGGGAGCAGUGGGGAAUAUUGCACAAGGGGCGCAAGCCUGAUGCAGCGACGCCGCGUGAGGGAGGGAGGCCUUCGGGUUGUAAACCUCUUUCGCAAGUGAAGCAGGCCUGCUCCUUGUGGGUGGGUUGACGGUAGCUGGAUAAGAAGCGCCGGCUAACUACGUG